Molecule: unclassified non-coding RNA, 2230 nt
Filed under: Hevea brasiliensis (rubber tree)
Lineage: Eukaryota; Viridiplantae; Streptophyta; Magnoliopsida; Malpighiales; Euphorbiaceae
Source: RNAcentral
AAAAAAAAAAGGCAUCAAGUGAUCAUUAACAGAGUCGCAUUCAAUUUGAGUAUCAUUCAAUAAAAUGAGAAUAGAAAACUUUAGUCCAUCGUAUUACUAGAUCCAAACAAUAAACAAAGAAAGUACUACAGGUUCUUUCAAAUAAACGCACCUGUAGCCAAAGCCCUGGAAAAAGAAUCCCAGAAGCACCACCACAACUGCUAAAACCCAAAGCAAAAGCAUGUUAUGUAUUUUUACUGAUCUUUCCAGGAAGUGAAAUAAAUACUUAAUAUGUUACGGAUGCAAAUUCAUAAAAAUAACUGCUAUUAAAUGAUCUCUCCAAUUGUAGCAAGAACAUUCCUGAACCUUUCUAUGGAGCAGCCGGUGGAAUCCUACUGCAAGCAGUCUAUCAUUGUUUCUUGGCAUUCCAACGGAGCUUCAUAUUUUGGACCAUACGCCAAGCUCUUAAUGUAUACUUAAAAGUGAGAAGCACCAGAUCUCUAAUCUGAUAAACUUGGCCUCAGCCUCCGGGAUUGUACAGCCCUUCCUUGCAAGUUGCAACGUGUUUGGAAAAGGUAAUCCUGUCACACUUCUUACCAUUCACUAAUAUGGGACCAUCAAAUUUGCAACUUCAACAUUUUUCUUUGCUUCGCAAAGGGAGUAGUAUCCACAUGGUGUGUCUGUCUUCUUCAAGAGUCAAGACUUAUUUCCAAUUUAUUGACCUGAAUCAAUUCUAUCAAAAGAAUGCGAUUGAUGCACGCAGACAUUUUUUUUAUCAGCACGCAUGCAGACAUUGUACCUUGUUAUUCUGCCCUAUGAAUUUUCAUUCUGGUUUCUAUGAUUCUAUCUACCUCAUAAUUUAUGUGUUUGGCUUUUUCAUAAAACAUAAAGGUAAUGAUAACGCAGCCAGAGUGCCAGACUAUCAUCAAGCAAAAAGUAAGCAGAUAUAUACACAAAUGAAAUGGCCAAAAAGAGAGUGCAAACAUGUGAGCGAGGAAAAAAGUACCCAGAAAAGUAUUUUAUUGCAAGGAAAUAAUGGCAAGGCAUCAAUUGAGGCAUUUCUGUUAGUUGCCUCUUUAUCUUCACGAUCUAUUGAUGUGUUUGGUACAAUAGUAAUUGGAAUAUCAGUAAAGUUGAAUGUAAAGCUUCAUGCAGGUAUAUUCUCAACCUAAUAUCAAUCACUUGCUCUGAUGAACUGAAAGAGGAAAAAAGACUAGAGCUAAACCUAACUGAGCAUGGUUCUUAGCAACUGGAGGAAACUCUUGCAAGCAACAACUAGUGUAGGCAAAAUUCAGUGAACACAGGCAACCUCUUUCUUAUUCUUGGACCAUGAAGAACACUAUGAAUAUAGGCAUCAACAUCUUUUCUGGGUGAUGAGUAUUUGUCAAUUUCACCUGGCAAGGCAACUUCAAUGUCAUCAUCCAAGGGCGACCAGUCUUGAGGUUUGACACUGGCGGUGGGGGUUUUGAUGUAGACUUCUGGUUUGGUGCAGUGCAUAGGUGUGAUGAUUGGGCUGGUGUUCUUGCUGAAGUAUACAGAUUGUAUGGUGAUGACAGGGCUCUUGUUCUUGUAAUCAGGUUUGGAAACAGAGGCCGUUUGGCUUGCUGCCACUACUGCUUCAGCCAUGAGGAAACGCGACUUCUGGCCAUAAGAAUAUGAUGCGGCUGAAUGCGACUUGAAAGUAUGUGUUUCUGCUUCGUUCUUCAUGGGGUAACAAGUCGGACGAAGCUCUUCUUUUCCAUGCACAAACUGGCAUUUGGAGCCAUAUCGGCAGUGUCCAAAAUCCUCCCAAGAACGACAAAGCUCCGUUUUAUACACUCGAAUUUGGGGAGAAGAAGAAGAAUUUGAUGGCGAAUCACUCGAAUUCGACGACAGAGACCUUAAAACCUUACCUCCAGACAAGGAAUCCACCAAAAUCUCAUCCAUGACCAGCACUUCAUCAUCCACAACCUUAACAGGGGUCCCAUACACCGGCGAUGACAUCACAUUUUCAAUUGACGACAACGGCGACAAGGACCUCCCAAAGUUGCUGCUGUUGGCGGUGAUCGCCCGAGAAGAGAAGGCGUCAUUGGUGGCGUUGCAAGCAGAGGAUGAUAUCCGAGAUCCACCGCAAAGGUAUCUGAUGAGCGUGGAGUCGGAGUUGAGCAGGGUGUUGAGAGGGGAAACGCUGCCGUUUGAGGAUUUGAGUUUGGGCAUUUGUUUUGAGCUGUGUAGGGCAUCCAUGGCUUCCGCGAUUUGGAGAUUGUUUUUG